RNAcentral lists this ribosomal RNA (497 nucleotides) under uncultured bacterium. RNAcentral describes it as "partial 16S ribosomal RNA". It matches the Rfam family "Bacterial small subunit ribosomal RNA", at positions 28 to 507 of the family's 1533-position model. The record is from RNAcentral.
GAUGAACGCUGGCGGCGUGCCUAAUACAUGCAAGUCGAGCGAACAGACGAGGAGCUUGCUCCUCUGACGUUAGCGGCGGACGGGUGAGUAACACGUGGAUAACCUACCUAUAAGACUGGGAUAACUUCGGGAAACCGGAGCUAAUACCGGAUAAUAUAUUGAACCGCAUGGUUCAAUAGUGAAAGACGGUUUUGCUGUCACUUAUAGAUGGAUCCGCGCCGCAUUAGCUAGUUGGUAAGGUAACGGCUUACCAAGGCAACGAUGCGUAGCCGACCUGAGAGAGUGGUCGGCCACACUGGAACUGAAACACGGUCCAGACUCCUGCGGGAGGCAGCAGUAGGGAAUGUUCCGCAAUGGGCGAAAGCUUGACGGAGCAACGCCGCGUGAGUGAUGAAGGUCUUCGGAUCGUAAAACUCUGUUAUUAGGGAAGAACAAAUGUGUAAGUAAAUAUGCACGUCUUGACGGUACCUAAUCAGAAAGCCACGGCUAACUACGUG